RNAcentral lists this ribosomal RNA (495 nucleotides) under uncultured bacterium. RNAcentral describes it as "partial 16S ribosomal RNA". It matches the Rfam family "Bacterial small subunit ribosomal RNA", at positions 28 to 507 of the family's 1533-position model. The record is from RNAcentral.
GACGAACGCUAGCGGCGUGCCUAAUACAUGCAAGUAGAACGCUGAAGGAGGAGCUUGCUCUUCUGGAUGAGUUGCGAACGGGUGAGUAACGCGUAGGUAACCUGCCUGGUAGCGGGGGAUAACUAUUGGAAACGAUAGCUAAUACCGCAUAACAGUAGAUGUUGCAUGACAUUUGCUUAAAAGGUGCAAUCGCACCACUACCAGAUGGACCUGCGUUGGAUUAGCUAGUUGGUGGGGUAACGGCUCACCAAGGCGACGAUACAUAGCCGACCUGGGAGGGUGAUCGGCCAAACUGGGACUGAGACACGGCCCAGAAUCCUAAGGGAGGCAGCAGUAGGGAAUCUUCGGCAAUGGACGGAAGUCUGACCGAGCAACGCCGCGUGAGUGAAGAAGGGUUUCGGAUCGUAAAGCUCUGUUGUAAGGGAAGAACGAGUGUGAGAGUGGAAAGUUCACACUGUGACGGUAUCUUACCAGAAAGGGACGGCUAACUACGUG